Molecule: ribosomal RNA, 239 nt
Filed under: uncultured bacterium
Lineage: Bacteria
Description: partial 16S ribosomal RNA
Rfam family: Bacterial small subunit ribosomal RNA
Source: RNAcentral
GACGAGUACCCCAAGCGUUAUCCGGAAUUACUGGGCAUAAAGGGUGCGUAGGUGGUGUAGUUAGUCUUUUGUGAAAACUCCCGGCUUAACCGGGAAGACGCGGAAGAUACGGCUAUACUAGAGAGCGUGAGAGGUCUGUGGAACUCAUGGUGUAGGGGUGAAAUCCGUUGAUAUCAUGGGGAACGCCAAAAGUGAAGACAGCAGACUGGCACGUUUCUGACACUGAGGCACGAAAGCGU